Molecule: ribosomal RNA, 467 nt
Filed under: uncultured bacterium
Lineage: Bacteria
Description: partial 16S ribosomal RNA
Rfam family: Bacterial small subunit ribosomal RNA
Source: RNAcentral
GAUGAACGCUGGCGGCGUGCUUAACACAUGCAAGUCGAACGGAAAGGCCCAAGCUUGCUUGGGUACUCGAGUGGCGAACGGGUGAGUAACACGUGGGUGAUCUGCCCUGCACUUCGGGAUAAGCCUGGGAAACUGGGUCUAAUACCGGAUAGGACCACUUCUUGGAUGUUGUGGUGGAAAGUUUUUUCGGUGUGGGAUGAGCUCGCGGCCUAUCAGCUUGUUGGUGGGGUAAUGGCCUACCAAGGCGUCGACGGGUAGCCGGCCUGAGAGGGUGUACGGCCACAUUGGGACUGAGAUACGGCCCAGACGCCUACGGGAGGCAGCAGUGGGGAAGAUUGCACAAUGGGCGCAAGCCUGAUGCAGCGACGCCGCGUGGGGGAUGACGGCCUUCGGGUUGUAAACGCCGUUCGCUAGGGACGAAGCGUUUUGUGACGGUACCUGGAGAAGAAGCACCGGCUAACUACGUG